UCAUAAUUAUUUGGACUUAUAUAUAGCCAUAUUUAUCAGAUACAAUUUUAUGCUUUAAAUUAUAUUUUUUGUUAAUUGUUUGCAAUCUCUGUUAUGUCUGAACAAGUUUAUAAUAUGUAUAAUCAAAGUUACAAAAUGACAAUCAUAGAAUAUUUGGAUAUGUAUGAAUAUUCGUGGAUGACUUAUAUUUAUAAUUCAGGCCUUGAAGGCAUAAAACUUUGCUCAGAGCUUGUAGCACAAAAAUCAUGCUCGAAACAUGAAAUCCAGCAAUUUGAUUGGUUGAUUUUCGAGUCUGAGUACAAAAAUCAUGCUCGAAAGUUUUAUGACUGUGACUCCAGGACUAUAUAAUAUUUAAAAAGAAGAAGUCUUUAUCAUAGAACAUUGUCCCAUAAAACAAAAACAUCUUGAAAAUUGAUAGGUGCCUAGUUUGACAACCAAUAUAACAGCAUGUUUGACUAUUCAAGACUUAGUAAAAUCUCUGUUCCAAAUCUCUGCACUUAAAUAUUAUUUAUUUUAUGUAAAAUUAAAAUAAAAACAGUUAACAGAUAUGUUAGUGUGUAGGUUAAGGUAAUAUCUUUCAUUAGCUUGCUUGUUAGCUGAAACAUGAAGUAAUUAUUAGGUUAGUAAAACAACCCUUCCUUUAAUAGUAGACUAGUUCAUCAGAAAGUCAAUCUAUAUAUCUGUCUUUAGGACUACGCUACUUCAAAAGGAGGGUAGUAUACCAUGCCUAAAAAUGACUCCACGGUUCAGCUAACAAGCAAGUGACCAAAGAGAUUACCUUUACCUACACACUCAUUGUAUAGCAUUAGAUAUAUGAUCUACUGUACAAUUACUUGUAUCUGUUAAUUGAACAAAUACUCAUUCUGAUCACUGCCCAUAGUUAUCAAACAUUUUGUUAUAUUCACCACAUACAAAUGGAUCUGCAUAAUUUCAGAAAAAAUCAUGUAGUAAAAAGAAAUACAACUUAGGAACAAAGAUAUGAUCCAACAUGAAUUAUUAUUUUUACACUCUUGACUUUGUAUUUACUUUUUAAUUUCUUUUUAUUUACAUGUAUGUGUAUCAAUUAAGUAUGUAUUUGGCAGCAAAUAAAGGGCAUUACAAAACCUUGUAUGUACAGAUACCAUCCUUUUUCAAAAUAAAUUUAAAAGACUAAAUCUUCCAUAACACAAUGUUUCAGUCUAACAUUUUUAAAAGAUGUUUGUAUGAGAUGUAGGUGUAUCUCUCAAAAAGCUUGAUUCCUACUACCAAUUGAAUAAAGGCCACAAAUAAUUAAACUUUAAAAUAAAAUCAAAGGUUAGCUGCUGAAUAUUUUACUAGUUUUCAUGGAAUAAGAAAUUGCUCUUUUAGAAUUGGCUGAAACACUUAUUAUAAUAAGGAGUAAAGCAGACAUUAAACCUAAUUUUUCACAUUGGCAGGAAAUAACUUUUAAAAUAAAGCAAGUAUUUAGAUUUUUUUCAGAGAUGUAAGGAGAACAUUCAGGAUAAAUAGAAAGCAUUAAAAAGUGGGGUUUUUUCAUACCUCGACCAUACUAGUACAAUUUUUUCCAUUUUUAUUUGUUAGUAGUUCUUGUUUGUAUAUAUAUAUAUUUGUAUAAAGCAAUGCUUUUCUUUCAUACGACAAAACCAAGAUACAAGUUAUAACAAUUCUCAUGUUGUCUAUGUCAAGGCAUCAUUUCAUUAAAAGGCUGAUAAUAUCAACUAAAAACCAAAUGUUUAUAAUGAGCUCCCCAUUCUUAAAAAGAAAUCUGACUUUUUGAUGUUGCAAAAGAAGAAAAAAAAAAGGAAACAAAAAAAAUGGUUUUGGGAGCAACAAACUAAAUACUUUCUGUGGAUACAUAUUUGUAUAACAGUCAGUUUAAAAGUGAAAUUUAUUCAUUUUGAUGCCCCAUAAAAAGCUUCUUCAUAACUUAUAAAGGAAGCAUUUGUUUUCUAUCCAUUUUUUGUUAUAACAAUUAUACCCUUUAAAUCUGUAUGUGAUAGCUAGAAAUGUAGAAAUAGUGGCCAUAUUAACAAAUCUACAAUUUUUUGUAGUAAUCCUAUCUAAGAAAAUUGUAGAAAAUAUCUGUUUUGAAGGUUAUUUUGUUUUGUUUGCAAACAAUAAUGAUUUUUCUAUUCCAUUGCUUUUUUUAUAGUAAGUGUAGAA
RNAcentral lists this long non-coding RNA (2142 nucleotides) under Mytilus galloprovincialis (Mediterranean mussel). Lineage: Eukaryota; Metazoa; Mollusca; Bivalvia; Mytilida; Mytilidae. The record is from RNAcentral.